UUUCAAAUUGAUACAUCCCUUUGGAACAAGAACAAUCCAAAGCCAUCAAAGUCAUGGAAAAACAGUAGAUAUAACACCACAAUUGUGCUAUCAAUUAUCUGAAGGAAUAUUAAACUGAAUUAACGUUCCGUUUGCCCGAUGAUCGUUUCUUGGAAUAUUAUUAAUUUAUCAUACAACGAUUAAUCCCUAACAUGCUCCUAUGAAUUUAACAGCUGCACGUUGGAGCUCAGAAAUACCUGAAGAAUUCAGAAGAAUUCGCAGAUUCGCAUCUGAACAGACCAGUCAGCUUCAAGCCUUCGUUUGAAGCCUCAAACGUCCUCAAAUCGUAUUUCGCCCAGAAAUACGACUUCUUCGUCUUCGAGAGAGCUUUCCGUGGCCGUCUGAUUCGUCUGAAUCGGAUAUCUGUGGAGGAAGUUAUGGCUGUUUUACGGAGACUGCCAGAACUUGGUUUCCUGCGAAAAUCUGACUCCAGCUCUGAUCUUCUCGACUGUAUCCUGCUCAGCUUUCACCGUUGGAUGGACAACGAUCUAUGAAAGUCCCAAGAGAGAAAUAAGCCCCACACGUUUUUCUUCCCUGCGCCCCACAGCUCUCAAAACCCUAAUAUUUUAUCAGUGUGUUUUCCUGAGAGCUGACAGCUGUAUUUAAAUAAAAUUAAAUACGUGUGGGCACAAAAUUAGUGUAGGAGGCGUCUUUCUCUCCUUCUAGGGCUAGGAGACAUUGGGCCAGUCCAGGGACCAGAUACAAGGAAUAAAGAUGGGCCUCAAAUAAAUUAAUUUAUCUAUGGUCAGCCCAGACCAUAAUUAAUUUAUAAAUAUCAGUUCAUUCCACUAGAGAACCGAUACUGACUUACCCCUUUAUUGCCGGUGAUGAGUCGGGGGCUUGUAUUUAGACUUAUUAAAUCUCCGUAUUUAAAAUAUCCGACACCCAUUAAUUAAUUAGAGCUCUGACAGCUUAAAUUAAUUAAUCUCUUAAUAAUUCCUUAAGCAGUACCACUCAAACUUUAUUAUUACGCCUGAACUUAAUCAACCUGCAGGGUUUAGCGUAAUAAACCUUAUUGAGCUCCUUAAGGGGAUGUCAUUAUCCUAUACCGGAUACGGGUACUAAUACAGAUAAUCAAAUAUCAUAUAUUAACCGCUAUCACCCAAGAUACAGAGUACUCGAGUUAGUAUAUAACCUUCACCCAUAGUAAGUCAAAGUGAUAUACGAGUUAACAUAUAUAUCUGAAUACUUAUUAGUAUUAAGAUUUAUAAGUCACCGAGAUCUUGAUUCUUCACUUAAGUCAGAUAGAAGAAUACAUCUCAAACUGUGGUCCUAUCAAUACGUAAUGACGUACCAGUAUAGACAAGUAGCCAAGACAAACUACUUCCAUCUAUACUGCAGCCUAAACCAAUAACUUGUCCUAGAGUUAUUUCGGCUGUGAUCAUAUUAUAUCUCUUAAGGUUAUUCCAAUUAUAUGGUCUUCUGUGAUCUACAACACACCAUAUAAUCUACUUAUAUAGAGAUAAAGAACAUACAUAUGCAAUCAUGAACACAAUCAGAUAGGAGAUUAGAUAGUGAACUUAGGAAACAUUGUAUACAAGCAUAAAACGUUCUUGCUUUCAGUAUACAAAUCCAACAUUAUCAUGUAAGAAAAUAAAAGAUUUUAAUGCUUCAGGUCAAGUGAGAUGAUUUCAGUGAUAAUACCCCUACUUUAUAUAAAUGAAUACCCAUAAAGAUAGCUCCCCACAUCUCCCAUAGCCAGUGGAAAUGAUAAAUUAUAGAUCAAUUCGGUUUCUACAAAUUCCCUAUAACACAAAUCAACUAAUGUCUUAGUUGCUGACAUAUCAUCAAGUUGAAGUUAUUAGCAGUAGAAAACAACUGUAACAUCACAAUUACCCAACAAAAUACCUAUGCAUCCACCAAUUCGUGAUAUUAAUACUAAGCUUAGAAAAAUCUCACCCAAAACUUUCUUGAAUGGUAAAGGAACAAAUUUGUGAGAUCUCCCUUCCCUGAUGCGAUUCCGAUGAAGAUCGACGCGAUUCCAGCUAGGAUCGAUGUACCACGGAGCUUCGACGCCUUGUAGCAGGCAAGAAAACGGAGAACGUUGCCCCCCCCAGUCAGAACACAAUCAGAGUUUCUAGGGCGCAAUAGUUCCUGCGCAGCGGCGGCGAGAGGUUCCUAUAUCUUCGAGUGGGGUCAGAGAUAACGGAGGUGGCCAACACAUAGGCUGCGAUGUAGCCGUGCAACGCAGAGCAAAGUUCGAUAGUGCCAGAUUGAAUUUAUUUCACAAACUUUGCCUUCGAUGAAGUCGAUGCCCGAUACCUGUAUGUUUGCAUCCAUAAUCAAAGAAAAAGAGAAUUAGGACCCCCAAAUUGAUAGGAACAACUAUAGGAGUGCAUUAAUAUCUGUGAAAUUGAGAAUAAAAAUGAGGAUUUAGUGGAUUUGUCGUGGCUGCAGCUGUCAAAAUGCCUGUAAAUCUUUUUUGAUAUUUUUCUGAUUUAAGCUCGCCGGACCAGAGACUGAGUGGGGCUGAGGAUCAUUUGGGAACGGUGAUGGAAUCUGGAGCUUAGGGACGACUGCAGCCGUCUUUUUUACCGGAAUCCUUGAAGAUAAGCGAGAGAUCGAGAUCUGCGAGCUGCACUGGGCUCCGGCGCCGCCUCCACCGGCACGGCGAGGCAAAGGGCGGCCCCCAUCUGCGACUCCGAAUCCUGUUCGUGGAAGACCCAAUUUCCCAAUUUUUCCACCUUGGAGGAAGAUUUUCCAUCGAUCUGGGUAGAAUGACCUUUUUUCCCCUCUUGGUUGAAAAUGAACAGUAUGUGGGAAUAGAAGUUCACUCGAAUUUGAAAAACCCACAAAUCAUAAGAUCUAUUCACGCCUCAUACGAACCCAACAGAAAAUCCCAUAAAUCUUGUCACUAGAAUCUGGAAAACCGAAGAACCUAGACCUGAAUCCCAAUUUGAAAACCAAAAAACACAAACCCCAGUCGAACACCCUCUUUCUUUUUCUUCGAUGAACAGUAAUCAGGAAAAUGAUGAUUUUUU
This 3020-nucleotide long non-coding RNA is filed under the name Salvia miltiorrhiza (redroot sage). RNAcentral describes it as "long non-coding RNA (SMIL_LNC005346)". Lineage: Eukaryota; Viridiplantae; Streptophyta; Magnoliopsida; Lamiales; Lamiaceae. The record is from RNAcentral.